UGUUGUUUUCUCGAAAAUCAAUUAAAAAAGGCAGGAUUUUGUGUUGUAUUGACUUUAUCAGCUUUCUGCACUCUUUUCUUGUCUUUUUUAAUGCACUUUUCGUUUAACAAGUCAACAUCAAUUUCUUUUGUUGUAAAAGGGUCAUUGGAAGGUGGCUUUCUUUUCGGAGAAAGUGUUUAUAGCCUUUGGCCUCUGCAAUCGGAGAGAUUGAGGUCUGCAGCGUAGAUCCUUCGGGGUUAGAUACAUUUGUGCUAAGUUAUAGCCUUUCAUAGACAACUUGUUGACUAUGAUCGGUCAUGUAGCUUACUCGCUUAUGCUAUUUUACCUAC
This 329-nucleotide ribosomal RNA is filed under the name Neocallimastigales sp. Its description in RNAcentral is "partial large subunit ribosomal RNA". The record is from RNAcentral. Lineage: Eukaryota; Fungi; Neocallimastigomycota; Neocallimastigomycetes; Neocallimastigales.